RNAcentral lists this ribosomal RNA (425 nucleotides) under uncultured bacterium. Its description in RNAcentral is "bacterial SSU rRNA". It matches the Rfam family "Bacterial small subunit ribosomal RNA", at positions 355 to 796 of the family's 1533-position model. The record is from RNAcentral.
UGAGGAAUUUUCCGCAAUGGGGGCAACCCUGACGGAGCAACGCCGCGUGCAGGAUGAAGGUCUUCGGAUCGUAAACUGCUUUUAUCGGGGAAGAGAACGGACGGUACCCGAUGAAUAAGCCCCGGCUAACUACGUGCCAGCAGCCGCGGUAAUACGUAGGGGGCGAGCGUUAUCCGGAAUUACUGGGCGUAAAGCGCAUGCAGGCGGUUGGAAAAGUUUCGGCUGACAAUCUUCGGCUUAACCGAAGAAGGCGUCGGAAAACUCUCCAACUUGAGACAUCGAGAGGCAGAUGGAAUUCCGUGUGGAGCAGUGAAAUGCGUAGAGAUGCGGAAGAACACCAGAGGCGAAGGCGAUCUGCUGGCGAUGUUCUGACGCUAAGAUGCGAAAGCUAGGGGAGCGAACAGGAUUAGAUACCCGGGUAGUCC